Capsicum annuum is the source of this 180-nucleotide long non-coding RNA. RefSeq lists it as uncharacterized. The transcript has 2 exons. NCBI's taxonomy places the organism in Eukaryota, Viridiplantae, Streptophyta, Magnoliopsida, Solanales, Solanaceae. The record is from RefSeq and is a predicted model, not a curated record.
UUAUUCAAUUUAUUAUCUUUAAGCCAAAUUAAUUAAGUUAAGAUGGUUUCUCUUAAGCAAGCUUUUCUCUUCAUUGCUCUUUUUGUUGCAAUCUCAGUUAAUAUCUCUUGGGGUCCUAAAGUGAUGGCUUUAAGAGACUUACCAAUUGAUGUUGCAGAGAUGAAAGUAAAAUUACUUCUU